Molecule: long non-coding RNA, 1100 nt
Filed under: Manacus vitellinus (golden-collared manakin)
Lineage: Eukaryota; Metazoa; Chordata; Aves; Passeriformes; Pipridae
Description: lncRNA (ENSMVIG00005008570.1)
Source: RNAcentral
AAAGGAGUGUAUGUGUAUAACCUGAAACUGUUUGAAGUGAUAAAACUUUAGGUAACUACUCCAUAAUGGAAAGGAGGUAAAACUAGAUGUCUAUUUAGAUAAGACAGACUGCACAAAGAGUGUGUGUAAAGAUAAUUUUGAGCCUGCUACUUUCAAACUGUAUAAAAGGCUAUGUUAUUUCUUGGCUCGGGGGAGUGCUCUGGGGGAGAACCCCUGCCCCUUUUGCAUCUCCCCGGCCGUAAUAAAAGUGCUUUUCAGAUUGGCAGAGGUUUCUUUGAAUCAGUAUUCCAAGCAGAACGGAAGAGAAGGUUGUUGUGGAGAGACAACAACGGGUUGGGAGGGGGUUUGGCCGAGGGAAUUCGAUUUUUUGGGGUUCUCCAAGCAUGCCACCCCCUUUUCCCCAGGGAGGCUUCGAGUACAAGAGGGCCAUCGUGGACUGCAUCAUCGGCAUCCUGGAGGAGAACCCCGAGAGCAAGGAGGCCGGGCUGGCCCACCUGUGCGAGUUCAUCGAGGACUGCGAGCACACCGUGCUGGCCACCAAGAUCCUGCACCUGCUGGGCAAGGAGGGGCCGCGCACGCCGGCCCCCUCCAAGUACAUCCGCUUCAUCUUCAACAGGGUGGUGCUGGAGAACGAGGCCGUCAGGGCCGCCGCCGUCAGCGCCCUGGCAAAGUUUGGGGCCCAGAAUGAGAAUCUGCUUCCCAGCAUCCUGGUGCUGCUGCAGAGGUGAGUUUUGGGGGGGCUGUGGGAGUGUGUGGGGGUCUGUGCAGAGCUGGGGGGGCACAACGGGAGCGGCGAGGCCGGAAUUUGCGCCGGGGUCGUCGAUCCCGGCGGGGGAAUUGGGAGGUGUCGGUUUUGCGCCUUCCCCGCGAGGCCGGAGGGAGCAGGAACUGCUGGGAACAGGCACGGAAAAGGUGGGAUGGGUUGGGGAAGUGUGGGAGUGAGCUGGUCUGGAACGUUCCUCGGUGGGUAACAAAUCAUGGAAUCACAGAAUGGUUUGAUUGGAAGGGACCUUAAAGGUCAUCCGGGUCCACCCACUAUCCCAGGUUGCUCCAACCCAGCCUUGGACACUUCCAGGGAUCCAGGGGCAGCCACAGCUUCU